This 251-nucleotide ribosomal RNA is filed under the name uncultured prokaryote. RNAcentral's name for it is "partial 16S ribosomal RNA". It matches the Rfam family "Bacterial small subunit ribosomal RNA", at positions 525 to 775 of the family's 1533-position model. The record is from RNAcentral.
ACGUAGGGGGCGAGCGUUGUCCGGAAUUACUGGGCGUAAAGGGCUUGUAGGCGGGCAUAUAAGUUUUGGAGUAAAGGCUUGGGCUCAACCCAAGUAUUUUCCAGAAUACUGUAUGUCUUGAGGACGGAAGAGGAGAGUGGAAUUCCUGGUGUAGCGGUGAAAUGCGUAGAUAUCAGGAGGAACACCGGUGGCGAAGGCGGCUCUCUGGUCCGGUUCUGACGCUGAGGAGCGAAAGCUAGGGUAGCGAACGG